GACGAACGCUGGCGGCGUGCCUAAUACAUGCAAGUUGAGCGAUGAAGAUUGGUGCUUGCACCAAUUUGAAGAGCAGCGAACGGGUGAGUAACGCGUGGGGAAUCUGCCUUUGAGCGGGGGACAACAUUUGGAAACGAAUGCUAAUACCGCAUAAUAACUUUAAACAUAAGUUUUAAGUUUGAAAGAUGCAAUUGCAUCACUCAAAGAUGAUCCCGCGUUGUAUUAGCUAGUUGGUGAGGUAAAGGCUCACCAAGGCGAUGAUACAUAGCCGACCUGAGAGGGUGAUCGGCCACAUUGGGACUGAGACUCGGCCCAAACUCCUACGGGAGGCAGCAGUAGGGAAUCUUCGGCAAUGGACGAAAGUCUGACCGAGCAACGCCGCGUGAGUGAAGAAGGUUUUCGGAUCGUAAAACUCUGUUGGUAGAGAAGAACGUUGGUGAGAGUGGAAAGCUCAUCAAGUGACGGUAACUACCCAGAAAGGGGCGGCUAACUACGUG
RNAcentral lists this ribosomal RNA (497 nucleotides) under uncultured bacterium. RNAcentral's name for it is "partial 16S ribosomal RNA". It matches the Rfam family "Bacterial small subunit ribosomal RNA", at positions 28 to 507 of the family's 1533-position model. The record is from RNAcentral.